AAUCAACGCUGGCGGCGUGCCUCAGACAUGCAAGUCGAACGAUUAAACUUCCCUUCGGGGAAGAUAUAAAGUGGCGCACGGGUGAGUAACACGUAGGUAAUGUACCUUUGGGUGGGGAAUAACUUAGGGAAACUUAAGCUAAUACCGCAUAAUGCAGCGGCUCCUUCGGGAGACAGUUGUUAAAGAUUUAUCGCCUAAAGAGCAGCCUGCGGCAGAUUAGCUAGUUGGUAAGGUAACGGCUUACCAAGGCUACGAUCUGUAUCCGACCUGAGAGGGUGGUCGGACACACUGACACUGAAUAACGGGUCAGACUCCUACGGGAGGCAGCAGUCGGGAAUUUUGGGCAAUGGGCGAAAGCCUGACCCAGCAACGCCGCGUGAAGGAUGAAGUCUUUCGGGAUGUAAACUUCGUAAGAAUAGGAAGAAUAAAUGACGGUACUAUUUGUAAGGUCCGGCUAACUACGU
RNAcentral lists this ribosomal RNA (464 nucleotides) under uncultured bacterium. Its description in RNAcentral is "partial 16S ribosomal RNA". It matches the Rfam family "Bacterial small subunit ribosomal RNA", at positions 32 to 506 of the family's 1533-position model. The record is from RNAcentral.